Molecule: unclassified non-coding RNA, 761 nt
Filed under: Hevea brasiliensis (rubber tree)
Lineage: Eukaryota; Viridiplantae; Streptophyta; Magnoliopsida; Malpighiales; Euphorbiaceae
Source: RNAcentral
GAGCUUGUAGAGGGUGAAGCGCUUUUCGAGUUCUUCGAUGAGAUAGGGAUAGAUUGGAGUGCAGGUCAUGAGAACACCGAUCGACUCCAUUGGUUUUUGAAUGCAGCGCUCCUACUUGCCACGAUACGUUUGUUUUUCUGUGAUAGUGAUAAUGGAAUAGUAGUUUGGUUGUUUUUCAGUGGUCGGUGGCGGCUUGGUUGCAGCUCAGAGGUAAGUUUUCUUUGGAUUUCACUUGUGCCGCAGCAGUGGAGUCGGGCGAACAAUUUUCCCACUAUGACCUCAAGUUUUCAGGUACUACGAGUUGCCAAACGUCGUCGUUCCAUUUGUUGGCUUUUAUUUUUGGACGUGUACUUCUAUGAUGUCUAAAUGCAGGUAGUACUAGACAUAUCAACGAUUCAAAAACACCAAAACCCCUAGACCUGGCAAGCCCAACACAUCAAAAUUUUUAAAAGACAACACACACAAUCCAGCAAAAUUCAAGCAGAGAAACAACAAAAGUAUAGCCCUGAUUAGCGACACUGCAACUCUUUACAGGAGCCAUUGUCUGGCCUUGUCAUGGCCGCAUAGGCGCAUAGGCCCGGCCAUUGUGUUCGCUUCUGGUCUCAUGCUAUUUCAUUUGCUAGAUUUGUCCGUCGGCUCUUGACAAUGCUAUCAGCAACUUUAAAAAGAUGACAUUUUUACAUUUUAAUUGCACUAGUCAAAUUUAAUAUUUGAAUAAAUCUAAAAUAAUAGUAAAUAAUUAAUUUAUUUUUAUUAAGAGU